GGCGAGUGAAGCGGCAAGAGCUCAAMWUUGAAAGCUGGCUCCUUCGGGGUCCGCAUUGUAAUUUGCAGAGGAUGCUUCGGGAGCGGCCCCMAUCUAAGUGCCCUGGAACGGGCCGUCAUAGAGGGUGAGAAUCCCGUCUGGGAUGGGGUGCCCGCGACCAUGUGAAGCUCCUUCGACGAGUCGAGUUGUUUGGGAAUGCAGCUCUAAAUGGGUGGUAAAUUUCAUCUAAAGCUAAAUAUUGGCCGGAGACCGAUAGCGCACAAGUAGAGUGAUCGAAAGAUGAAAAGCACUUUGAAAAGAGAGUUAAAAAGCACGUGAAAUUGUUGAAAGGGAAGCGCUUGCGACUAGACUCGCCCACGGGGUAACAGCCGCUAUUCGUAGCGGUGCACUUCCCCGUGGUCGGGCCAGCGUCGGUUUGGGCGGCCGGUCAAAGGCCCUCGGAAUGUAACGCCUCUCGGGGCGUCUUAUAGCCGGGGGUGCCAUGCGGCCAGCCCAGACCGAGGAUCGCGCUUCGGCACGGACGCUGGCUUAAUGGUCGUAAGCGACCCGUCUUGAAACACGGACCAAGGAGUCUAACAUCUACGCGAGUGUUCGGGUGUCAAACCCGUGCGCGCAGUGAAAGCGAACGGAGGUGGGAACCCUUUGGGUGCACCAUCGACCGAUCCUGAUGUCUUCGGAUGGAUUUGAGUAAGAGCGUAGCUGUUGGGACCCGAAAGAUGGUGAACUAUGCCUGAAUAGGGCGAAGCCAGAGGAAACUCUGGUGGAGGCUCGCAGCGGUUCUGACGUGCAAAUCGAUCGUCAAAUUUGGGUAUAGGGGCGAAAGACUAAUCGAACCAUCUAGU
RNAcentral lists this ribosomal RNA (842 nucleotides) under Penicillium restrictum. RNAcentral's name for it is "LSU rRNA". It matches the Rfam family "Eukaryotic large subunit ribosomal RNA", at positions 88 to 948 of the family's 3401-position model. The record is from RNAcentral. Lineage: Eukaryota; Fungi; Ascomycota; Eurotiomycetes; Eurotiales; Aspergillaceae.